UCUAAUAUGACAGAAUAAUGUAUUGGAUUUAAACCCCAACAAUAAAACUUUUUAGUUUUUUUUAGAA
Molecule: transfer RNA, 67 nt
Filed under: Scolytinae sp. BMNH 1043133
Lineage: Eukaryota; Metazoa; Arthropoda; Insecta; Coleoptera; Curculionidae
Description: tRNA-Leu
Source: RNAcentral